UACGGGGGGGGCAAGCGUUGUUCGGAAUUACUGGGCGUAAAGGGCCAGUAGGCGGCCAACUAAGUCCGACGUGAAAUCCCCAGGCUUAACCUGGGAACUGCGUCGGAUACUGGAUGGCUUGAAUUCGGGAGAGGGAUGCAGAAUUCCAGGUGUAGCGGUGAAAUGCGUAGAUAUCUGGAGGAACACCGGUGGCGAAGGCGGCAUCCUGGACCGGCAUUGACGCUGAGGCGCGAAAGCCAGGGGAGCAAACGGG
Molecule: ribosomal RNA, 253 nt
Filed under: uncultured bacterium
Lineage: Bacteria
Description: partial 16S ribosomal RNA
Rfam family: Bacterial small subunit ribosomal RNA
Source: RNAcentral